AAUAAGAUUAUUUUUUAGUUUUUCAAUACAAUGUUUUGACUCUUCAUCUUAUUUAAAAAUUUUUUGCGAUUAAUAUUUUUAUUCUUACCAGAUGAUAAAACAUGAAUAGUACUUUAUGCGUGACUAAUCUUUUUUAAGUUUUUAUAUAAUUUUUUCAAAUAAGACGAAUGGUUAAAAUGUUGGACACGGAAAAAC
RNAcentral lists this microRNA precursor (195 nucleotides) under Oryza brachyantha (malo sina). RNAcentral's name for it is "MIR812 microRNA precursor family". It matches the Rfam family "MIR812 microRNA precursor family". The record is from Rfam by way of RNAcentral. Lineage: Eukaryota; Viridiplantae; Streptophyta; Magnoliopsida; Poales; Poaceae.